This 83-nucleotide transfer RNA is filed under the name Acidomyces richmondensis BFW. It matches the Rfam family "tRNA". Rfam says of the family: Transfer RNA (tRNA) molecules are approximately 80 nucleotides in length. Their secondary structure includes four short double-helical elements and three loops (D, anti-codon, and T loops). Lineage: Eukaryota; Fungi; Ascomycota; Dothideomycetes; Mycosphaerellales; Teratosphaeriaceae. The record is from Rfam by way of RNAcentral.
GCUCUCUUAGCUCAGUGGUAGAGCGUGGGAUUGCAGUAACUGUUAAUAUCCUAAGGUCUGUCGUUCGAUCCGGCAAGGGAGCU